RNAcentral lists this ribosomal RNA (1113 nucleotides) under Venturia inaequalis. RNAcentral's name for it is "partial large subunit ribosomal RNA". It matches the Rfam family "Eukaryotic large subunit ribosomal RNA", at positions 75 to 1133 of the family's 3401-position model. Lineage: Eukaryota; Fungi; Ascomycota; Dothideomycetes; Venturiales; Venturiaceae. The record is from RNAcentral.
UUGCCUCAGUAACGGCGAGUGAAGCGGCAACAGCUCAAAUUUGAAAUCUGGCGCAAGCCCGAGUUGUAAUUUGCAGAGGAUGUUUCGGGUGAAGCCACGGUCCAAGUCCCUUGGAACAGGACGUCAUAGAGGGUGAGAACCCCGUACCUGGCCGUCGGUGCCCCCCGCUGUGAAACUCCUUCGACGAGUCGAGUUGUUUGGGAAUGCAGCUCUAAAUCGGUGGUAAAUUCCAUCUAAAGCUAAAUACCGGCCAGAGACCGAUAGCGCACAAGUAGAGUGAUCGAAAGAUGAAAAGCACUUUGAAAAGAGAGUUAAAAAGUACGUGAAAUUGUUGAAAGGGAAGCGCUUGCGGCCAGACUUGCCCGCGGUUGCUCAGCCCGCCUUUUGGCGGGUGCACUCUUCCGCGGUCAGGCCAGCAUCGGUUUGGGCGGUCGGAUAAAGGCGUCGGGAACGUGGCCUCCCCUCGGGGAGGUGUUAUAGCCCGGCGCGCAAUGCGGCCAGCCCGGACCGAGGUUCGCGCUUUGCUAGGAUGCUGGCGUAAUGGCCGUAAGCGGCCCGUCUUGAAACACGGACCAAGGAGUCUAACAUCUAUGCGAGUGUUUGGGUGUCAAACCCGUGCGCGUAAUGAAAGUGAACGGAGGUGGGAACCGCAAGGUGCACCAUCGACCGAUCCUGAUGUCUUCGGAAGGAUUUGAGUAAGAGCAUAGCUGUUGGGACCCGAAAGAUGGUGAACUAUGCGUGAAUAGGGUGAAGCCAGAGGAAACUCUGGUGGAGGCUCGCAGCGGUUCUGACGUGCAAAUCGAUCGUCAAAUUUGCGUAUAGGGGCGAAAGACUAAUCGAACCAUUUGCAAACAGCAAUACUAGAUGGUCAAAGGGCGGAGAGCCUUAGUCCCCACGGGGGCCACACUGCCAAACUGCGGGGAACGCCCACAGCCGGACGCCACCGCCCCCCCGCCGCGAGGUGGGAGGGGCACCCCGUUUACUCGGGGGCAUGGUAACAGCGCGCCCGGCGGGUCGAUCCGCAGCCGUCCCCCGAUCCGUCGGGGGGUGGUUCACAGACUAGACGGCGGUGGGCGCGGCGAGCGCUUAAGAUAUAGUCGAUCCAGCCCCUCA